UACGAAGGGUGCAAGCGUUAUUCGGAAUAACUGGGCGUAAAGGGUGCGUAGACGGCACAUUAAGUCCGUUGUUAAAUUUUCCGGCCUAACCGGAAAUCAGCGAUGGAAACUGAUAUGCUAGAGGAUGGAAGAGAGAAGUGGAAUUCUCGGAGUAGCGGUAAAAUGCGUAGAUCUCGAGAGGAACACCAAUGGCGAAGGCAGCUUCUUGGUCCACUCCUGACGUUGAGGCACGAAAGAGUGGGUAGCAAACAGG
Molecule: ribosomal RNA, 253 nt
Filed under: uncultured bacterium
Lineage: Bacteria
Description: partial 16S ribosomal RNA
Rfam family: Bacterial small subunit ribosomal RNA
Source: RNAcentral